Molecule: ribosomal RNA, 402 nt
Filed under: bacterium
Lineage: Bacteria
Description: partial 16S ribosomal RNA
Rfam family: Bacterial small subunit ribosomal RNA
Source: RNAcentral
UGGGGAAUAUUGCACAAUGGGGGAAACCCUGAUGCAGCGACGCCGCGUGAACGAAGAAGGUAUUCGUAUCGUAAAGUUCUGUCCUAUGGGAAGAUAAUGACAGUACCAUAGAAGAAAGCUCCGGCUAAAUACGUGCCAGCAGCCGCGGUAAUACGUAUGGAGCGAGCGUUGUCCGGAAUUAUUGGGCGUAAAGGGUACGCAGGCGGUUUAAUAAGUCGAAUGUUAAAGAUCGGGGCUCAACCCCGCAAAGCAUUGGAAACUGAUAAACUUGAGUAGUGGAGAGGAAAGUGGAAUUCCUAGUGUGUGGUGAAAUACGUAGAUAUUAGGAGGAAUACCAGUAGCGAAGGCGACUUUCUGGACACAAACUGACGCUGAGGUACGAAAGCGUGGGGAGCAAACAGG